Long non-coding RNA from Monodelphis domestica (gray short-tailed opossum), 1235 nucleotides. RefSeq lists it as uncharacterized. Lineage: Eukaryota; Metazoa; Chordata; Mammalia; Didelphimorphia; Didelphidae. The record is from RefSeq and is a predicted model, not a curated record.
GAAGUCCGGGUAGGUUAGGUGGCUGAAAUUUUGGGCUAUAGGAUGGGGACAGAAGUAAAACCUGGCUAAUUAGACUCCGAGCAGGAGGAAAGAAACUUGAGUUUCUUUCUACCAGAGUAGAGUAGCAUGGGAUUCUCUUUUUAAUUCCAUGACCAGAGCUUCUCUCUCUCCUCAGCAGGCACUGCGCAGUUAUCCAAACUGGCCAGCCCAGUUGGCUGAUUGAGCUCUGGCAAGAAGCCCCUUGCAGACCCUUGCCCUGGGCUGUCAUGGUUUGACCUGAGGCAUACCAGGGAACCAUGAAUUGAAGAGUUGAGAAAACUGAGGCAAAGGGAAGUUAAUCUGCUUGAAGAGAGUGACACAUCUAGACAGCCAAUAAAUCAAGAUCUGGAAGGUUUUCCAUUUUCAAGGCAUAAAUGUUCACUUUGAAAAAUCAACUCUAAAGAACAGGGAUGAACUGAAUCUGGCACAUCCCCAUGAUGUGUAGGCUAAUUUGGAGACAGAAUGUAGACAUAGUGAGAAAAAGAGUCAUCAUAAAGCAAUGACUACAUAAAAGACAAGUUGACUGGUGAUGGAUGAGGAUGCAGUUGAUGACCAUGUCUCCUUCCUUGUCCAACCAAGUUUUAAGAGCUCCAGAAUGUCUACUUUUAACACCUUUUUGUCCAAUAGAAUGAAUUGUUCUCAAUCACCCCUUCUGACAGGGGAAGUCUUCACACACUCGGAGUAGAUACCCCCUAACUCAUCAGAGACAAUAAAUAUUUUGGAACAAAAUGUCAGCUGGGAUGGGUCCUGGCCUUUUUUGCAGAAACUGAUCCUGAGGGGUCUACCCUGUUCCCUAACUCAAGACUUAAUUGGUUAAGGGAAUGGGAGCUUGAUACACUGAAGUAGGAUUUUCUUUUUUCUGUUGUGUUGCUCUCUCCAACAGUUCUAGAUGGAACUGAAGAAGCAGAAAAAAGGACCCUAAGUACUGUCAGAUUCAGACUUUAUACAAAAGUCUUUUAUUGUAGGUGAGGAUGUAUAGAUAAGUGUAUGUAUGUAUUUACAAAUGCAUGUAUAUAUUAUUUUGUCCUUUGUUGUAAAUUAAAUUAUUGUAAGUAUCUUGGCUUAUGUCUUCUGUUUUUAGCUAUUUUGUUUUAGCCCUGUUUUCCAUUAUUCCUGAAGUACAUAAGACCCUUCAUAUCUACCAUCUUUGGCAAGAUAUACAUUUACAUAUUUAACAGACUGUACCAUUUAUUCCU